GAUGAAGAACGUAGCGUAAUGCGAUACGUAAUGUGAAUUGCAGAAUUCAGUGAAUCAUCGAGUCUUUGAACGCACAUUGCGCCCCCUGGUAUUCCGGGGGGCAUGCCUGUCCGAGCGUCAUUGCUGCCCUCAAGCACGGCUUGUGUGUUGGGCCUCCGUCCUCCUCCCGGGGGACGGGCCCGAAAGGCAGCGGCGGCACCGCGUCCGGUCCUCGAGCGUAUGGGGCUUCGUCACCCGCUCUUGUAGGCCCGGCCGGCGCUUGCCGACACAUCAAUCUUUUUUCCAGGUUGACCUCGGAUCAGGUAGGGAUACCCGCUGAACUUAAGCAUAUCAAUAAGCGAGGA
Molecule: unclassified non-coding RNA, 344 nt
Filed under: soil metagenome
Description: partial contains 5.8S ribosomal RNA, internal transcribed spacer 2, and large subunit ribosomal RNA
Rfam family: 5.8S ribosomal RNA (bases 1-120)
Source: RNAcentral